GUGUUUGCCUUGGCAGCACAGAUACCAAAAUUGAAAGGAUAUAGAGAAGAUUAGCAUGGCCCUUACACAAGGAUGACAUGCAAAUUCAUGAAGCAUUCCAUUAGGAA
Molecule: small nuclear RNA, 107 nt
Filed under: Microcebus murinus (gray mouse lemur)
Lineage: Eukaryota; Metazoa; Chordata; Mammalia; Primates; Cheirogaleidae
Source: RNAcentral